Molecule: unclassified non-coding RNA, 333 nt
Filed under: soil metagenome
Description: partial contains 5.8S ribosomal RNA, internal transcribed spacer 2, and large subunit ribosomal RNA
Rfam family: 5.8S ribosomal RNA (bases 1-120)
Source: RNAcentral
GAUGAAGAACGUAGCGAAAUGCGAUACGUAAUGUGAAUUGCAGAUUUCAGUGAAUCAUCGAAUCUUUGAACGCACAUUGCGCCCGCUAGUAUUCUGGCGGGCAUGCCUGUUCGAGCGUCAUUUCAACCAUCAAGCCCUAGGCUUGCGUUGGAGCCCUGCGGCUGCCGCAGGCUCCCAAAUCCAGUGGCGGGCUCGUCGUCGUACCGAGUGCAGUAAACAUCCUCGCUCAGGGAACGUGACGGGUUCUUGCCGUGAAACCCCCCACAUAUCAAGGUUGACCUCGGAUCAGGUAGGAAUACCCGCUGAACUUAAGCAUAUCAAUAAGGCGGAGGA